This 465-nucleotide ribosomal RNA is filed under the name Vreelandella stevensii. RNAcentral describes it as "partial 16S ribosomal RNA". It matches the Rfam family "Bacterial small subunit ribosomal RNA", at positions 338 to 795 of the family's 1533-position model. Lineage: Bacteria; Pseudomonadati; Pseudomonadota; Gammaproteobacteria; Oceanospirillales; Halomonadaceae. The record is from RNAcentral.
CCUACGUGGUGCAGCAGUGGGGAAUAUUGGACAAUGGGCGAAAGCCUGAUCCAGCCAUGCCGCGUGUGUGAAGAAGGCCUUCGGGUUGUAAAGCACUUUCAGUGGGGAAGAAAGCCUUGGGGCUAAUACCCUCGAGGAAGGACAUCACCCACAGAAGAAGCACCGGCUAACUCCGUGCCAGCAGCCGCGGUAAUACGGAGGGUGCGAGCGUUAAUCGGAAUUACUGGGCGUAAAGCGCGCGUAGGCGGUCUGAUAAGCCGGUUGUGAAAGCCCCGGGCUCAACCUGGGAACGGCAUCCGGAACUGUCAGGCUAGAGUGCAGGAGAGGAAGGUAGAAUUCCCGGUGUAGCGGUGAAAUGCGUAGAGAUCGGGAGGAAUACCAGUGGCGAAGGCGGCCUUCUGGACUGACACUGACGCUGAGGUGCGAAAGCGUGGGUAGCAAAUAGGAUUAGAUACCCGGGUAGUC